AUAGCGUAUAUUAAAGUUGUUGCAGUUAAAAAGCUCGUAGUUGAACCUUGGGUCUGGCUGGCCGGUCCGCCUCACCGCGAGUACUGGUCCGGCUGGACCUUUCCUUCUGGGGAACCUCAUGGCCUUCACUGGCUGUGGGGGGAACCAGGACUUUUACUGUGAAAAAAUUAGAGUGUUCAAAGCAGGCCUUUGCUCGAAUACAUUAGCAUGGAAUAAUAGAAUAGGACGUGCGGUUCUAUUUUGUUGGUUUCUAGAGUCGCCGUAAUGAUUAAUAGGGAUAGUUGGGGGCAUUAGUAUUCAGUUGCUAGAGGUGAAAUUCUUGGAUUUACUGAAGACUAACUACUG
RNAcentral lists this ribosomal RNA (345 nucleotides) under uncultured eukaryote. Its description in RNAcentral is "SSU rRNA". It matches the Rfam family "Eukaryotic small subunit ribosomal RNA", at positions 594 to 945 of the family's 1831-position model. The record is from RNAcentral.